UUGCAGAGAGGAUCACACCUGUCGACAACAAACAAAGGUUUAAAAACAUCUGAAUUUUCAGAAAUGAUCACACCGCCUAGUUGAAGUACCAGUCUCCAUGUGCAAGUCAACAAAGCAGAGAGGAAACGCUUGAUUGACAACGUCUCAAGCUCAACCUGUGACUUGGAAGACCAUAAACAUGUUGCACAUCAUCCUAAGCAAAGUCUGAACUCAGUGACUUGUUACUCUCAACCCAGAGCAAGAAUCCUUUUAUCACAUGCUUUUCUUCUACAAUAGGUUAUCCCUUAUAUGGACACAUGCUACUUUUUUCGUAUCUCAGUAAUACUGUGAGGAAACUGGACAGGACACAGAAUCAGUACUUGUUUUUAACCAAAUUUUUAAAUAGAAAUUGUUUCUUUAAGUGGAUUACUCGUAGUCUGUAUUUUUGUUUAAUUCGGACUUAUUCUCUUUAUAACUUUCCAUAUUCAAAUGCUGACAAACUGCACUUCCUUGUGUGUUGUACUGUAAUUUUUAUGGUAAAAUUCUAGUAACAACAGCUACCGGUAACUUACCAUAAAGUUUUUGUUUCUUUUUUUUUACAAUAAAAUGUCAAUAUGUCAUACAA
Long non-coding RNA from Xiphophorus hellerii (green swordtail), 604 nucleotides. RefSeq lists it as uncharacterized. The record is from RefSeq and is a predicted model, not a curated record. NCBI's taxonomy places the organism in Eukaryota, Metazoa, Chordata, Actinopteri, Cyprinodontiformes, Poeciliidae. The transcript has 2 exons.